AACGAACGCUGGCGGCAUGCCUAACACAUGCAAGUCGAACGAGGCCUUCGGGUCUAGUGGCGCACGGGUGCGUAACGCGUGGGAACCUGCCCUUAGGCUCGGAAUAACUCCCCGAAAGGGGUGCUAAUACCGGAUAAUGUCUUCGGACCAAAGAUUUAUCGCCUUUGGAUGGGCCCGCGUUGGAUUAGCUAGUUGGUAGGGUAAAAGCCUACCAAGGCGACGAUCCAUAGCUGGUCUGAGAGGAUGAUCAGCCACACUGGGACUGAGACACGGCCCAGACUCCUACGGGAGGCAGCAGUGGGGAAUAUUGGACAAUGGGCGAAAGCCUGAUCCAGCAAUGCCGCGUGAGUGAUGAAGGCCUUAGGGUUGUAAAGCUCUUUUACCCGGGAUGAUAAUGACAGUACCGGGAGAAUAAGCUCCGGCUAACUCCGUG
This 433-nucleotide ribosomal RNA is filed under the name uncultured bacterium. Its description in RNAcentral is "partial 16S ribosomal RNA". It matches the Rfam family "Bacterial small subunit ribosomal RNA", at positions 29 to 507 of the family's 1533-position model. The record is from RNAcentral.